UAUGGCCACACCACUUGGAAUGCACUCAAUCUCUUCGGAUCUCGGAAGCUAAGCAGGGCUGGGUCUAGUCAGCACAUGUUCUUCUGGAAUGCCGUUUGAU
This 100-nucleotide ribosomal RNA is filed under the name Carlito syrichta (Philippine tarsier). The record is from RNAcentral. Lineage: Eukaryota; Metazoa; Chordata; Mammalia; Primates; Tarsiidae.